CUAUGCGCCUUGCCAGCCCGCUCAGGUGUGCCAGCCGCCGCGGUAAUACGGAGGAUGCGAGCGUUAUCCGGAUUUAUUGGGUUUAAAGGGUGCGUAGGCGGUCCGUUAAGUCAGCGGUAAAAUUGCGGGGCUCAACCCCGUCGAGCCGUUGAAACUGGCAGACUUGAGUUGGCGAGAAGUACGCGGAAUGCGCGGUGUAGCGGUGAAAUGCAUAGAUAUCACGCAGAACUCCGAUUGCGAAGGCAGCAUACCGGCGCCCUACUGACGCUGAGGCACGAAAGCGUGGGUAUCGAACAGG
This 298-nucleotide ribosomal RNA is filed under the name uncultured bacterium. RNAcentral's name for it is "partial 16S ribosomal RNA". It matches the Rfam family "Bacterial small subunit ribosomal RNA", at positions 475 to 776 of the family's 1533-position model. The record is from RNAcentral.